This 253-nucleotide ribosomal RNA is filed under the name uncultured bacterium. Its description in RNAcentral is "partial 16S ribosomal RNA". It matches the Rfam family "Bacterial small subunit ribosomal RNA", at positions 524 to 776 of the family's 1533-position model. The record is from RNAcentral.
UACAGAGGAGCCAAGCGUUGUCCGGAUUGACUGGGCGUAAAGCGCACGCAGGCGGUCGCGCGCGUGGGGUGUGAAAUCUGGCCGCUUAACGGCCAGGCGCCAUCCCAUACGGCGCAACUGGAGGGCUGCAGAGGUCGAUGGAAUUGCCGGUGUAGCGGUGAAAUGCGCAGAUAUCAGGAAGAACACCCGUGGCGAAGGCGGUUCUCUGGGACGGUACUGACGCUGAGACGCGAAAGCGUGGGGAGCGAACAGG